RNAcentral lists this unclassified non-coding RNA (352 nucleotides) under soil metagenome. RNAcentral's name for it is "partial contains 5.8S ribosomal RNA, internal transcribed spacer 2, and large subunit ribosomal RNA". The stretch from base 1 to 120 matches the Rfam family "5.8S ribosomal RNA", at positions 35 to 154 of the family's 154-position model. The record is from RNAcentral.
GAUGAAGAACGUAGCGAAAUGCGAUAAGUAAUGUGAAUUGCAGAAUUCAGUGAAUCAUCGGAUCUUUGAACGCACAUUGCGCCCGCCAGUAUUCUGGCGGGCAUGCCUGUUCGAGCGUCAUUUCAACCCUCAGGCCCCCAGUGCCUGGUGUUGGGGAUCGGCCCAGCCUUCCUGUAAGGCCGCCGGCCCCGAAAUCUAGUGGCGGUCUCGCUGUAGUCCUCCUCUGCGUAGUAGCACAACCUCGCAGUUGGAACGCGGCGGUGGCCAUGCCGUUAAACACCCCACUUCUGAAAGUUGACCUCGGAUCAGGUAGGAAUACCCGCUGAACUUAAGCAUAUCAAUAAGCGGAGGA